This 73-nucleotide transfer RNA is filed under the name Camelus bactrianus (Bactrian camel). It matches the Rfam family "tRNA". Rfam says of the family: Transfer RNA (tRNA) molecules are approximately 80 nucleotides in length. Their secondary structure includes four short double-helical elements and three loops (D, anti-codon, and T loops). Further hydrogen bonds mediate the characteristic L-shaped molecular structure. tRNAs have two regions of fundamental functional importance: the anti-codon, which is responsible for specific mRNA codon recognition, and the 3' end, to which the tRNAs corresponding amino acid is attached (by aminoacyl-tRNA synthetases). tRNAs cope with the degeneracy of the genetic code in two manners: having more than one tRNA (with a specific anti-codon) for a particular amino acid; and 'wobble' base-pairing, i.e. permitting non-standard base-pairing at the 3rd anti-codon position. The record is from Rfam by way of RNAcentral. Lineage: Eukaryota; Metazoa; Chordata; Mammalia; Artiodactyla; Camelidae. RNAcentral also lists the same sequence under 2 other names.
GAAGGUAUAGCUCAGUGGUAGAGUGUGUGCUUAGCAUGCACAAAGUCCUGGGUUCAACUCCCCAGUACUGCCA